RNAcentral lists this ribosomal RNA (135 nucleotides) under Cronobacter sakazakii. RNAcentral describes it as "partial 23S ribosomal RNA". It matches the Rfam family "Bacterial large subunit ribosomal RNA", at positions 1 to 132 of the family's 2925-position model. The record is from RNAcentral. Lineage: Bacteria; Pseudomonadati; Pseudomonadota; Gammaproteobacteria; Enterobacterales; Enterobacteriaceae.
GAGGUUAAGCGAACAAGCGUACACGGUGGAUGCCCUGGCAGUCAGAGGCGAUGAAGGACGUGCUAAUCUGCGAAAAGCGCCGGUAAGGUGAUAUGAACCGUUAUAACCGGCGAUUUCCGAACGGGGGAACCCAAA